RNAcentral lists this ribosomal RNA (397 nucleotides) under uncultured bacterium. RNAcentral describes it as "partial 16S ribosomal RNA". It matches the Rfam family "Bacterial small subunit ribosomal RNA", at positions 523 to 918 of the family's 1533-position model. The record is from RNAcentral.
AUACGUAGGUGACAAGCGUUAUCCGGAUUUACUGGGCGUAAAGGGCGUGUAGGCGGUCCGGUAAGUCUGGAGUGAAAGUCCUGUUUUUAAGAUGGGAAUUGCUUUGGAUACUGUCGGGCUUGAGUGCAGGAGAGGUAAGUGGAAUUCCCAGUGUAGCGGUGAAAUGCGUAGAGAUUGGGAGGAACACCAGUGGCGAAGGCGACUUUCUGGACUGUAACUGACGCUGAGGCGCGAAAGUGUGGGGAGCAAACAGGAUUAGAUACCCUGGUAGUCCACACUGUAAACGAUGAAUGCUAGGUGUAAGAGGUAUCGACCCCUUUUGUGCCGGAGUCAACACAAUAAGCAUUCCGCCUGGGGAGUACGGCCGCAAGGUUGAAACUCAAAGGAAUUGACGGGG